RNAcentral lists this microRNA precursor (88 nucleotides) under Canis lupus familiaris (dog). RNAcentral describes it as "mir-8799 microRNA precursor family". It matches the Rfam family "mir-8799 microRNA precursor family". The record is from Rfam by way of RNAcentral. Lineage: Eukaryota; Metazoa; Chordata; Mammalia; Carnivora; Canidae. RNAcentral also lists the same sequence under 1 other name.
CGGGGGAGGCCAGAUCCUGGGCUGUGUCCCAGCGCCCUGUGCUCCUGGUCUGCGCUGUUGGAUUCGCGCUCCCGCCCCACAGCCCCCU